GAGCGUAUAGCUCAGUGGUACAGUGCGUGCUUAGCAAGCACGAAGUCCUGGGUUCAGUGCCCAGUGCCUCCA
This 72-nucleotide transfer RNA is filed under the name Camelus bactrianus (Bactrian camel). It matches the Rfam family "tRNA". Rfam says of the family: Transfer RNA (tRNA) molecules are approximately 80 nucleotides in length. Their secondary structure includes four short double-helical elements and three loops (D, anti-codon, and T loops). Further hydrogen bonds mediate the characteristic L-shaped molecular structure. tRNAs have two regions of fundamental functional importance: the anti-codon, which is responsible for specific mRNA codon recognition, and the 3' end, to which the tRNAs corresponding amino acid is attached (by aminoacyl-tRNA synthetases). tRNAs cope with the degeneracy of the genetic code in two manners: having more than one tRNA (with a specific anti-codon) for a particular amino acid; and 'wobble' base-pairing, i.e. permitting non-standard base-pairing at the 3rd anti-codon position. Lineage: Eukaryota; Metazoa; Chordata; Mammalia; Artiodactyla; Camelidae. The record is from Rfam by way of RNAcentral. RNAcentral also lists the same sequence under 2 other names.